Molecule: ribosomal RNA, 2090 nt
Filed under: Salmonella enterica subsp. enterica serovar Eastbourne
Lineage: Bacteria; Pseudomonadati; Pseudomonadota; Gammaproteobacteria; Enterobacterales; Enterobacteriaceae
Description: partial 23S ribosomal RNA
Rfam family: Bacterial large subunit ribosomal RNA
Source: RNAcentral
AUCUGCGAUAAGCGCCGGUAAGGUGAUAUGAACCGUUAUAACCGGCGAUACCCGAAUGGGGAAACCCAGUGUGACUCGUCACACUAUCAUUAACUGAAUCCAUAGGUUAAUGAGGCGAACCGGGGGAACUGAAACAUCUAAGUACCCCGAGGAAAAGAAAUCAACCGAGAUUCCCCCAGUAGCGGCGAGCGAACGGGGAGGAGCCCAGAGCCUGAAUCAGCAUGUGUGUUAGUGGAAGCGUCUGGAAAGGCGCGCGAUACAGGGUGACAGCCCCGUACACAAAAGCGCAUGUGCUGUGAGCUCGAUGAGUAGGGCGGGACACGUGGUAUCCUGUCUGAAUAUGGGGGGACCAUCCUCCAAGGCUAAAUACUCCUGACUGACCGAUAGUGAACCAGUACCGUGAGGGAAAGGCGAAAAGAACCCCGGCGAGGGGAGUGAAAAAGAACCUGAAACCGUGUACGUACAAGCAGUGGGAGCACAGGUUUACCUGUGUGACUGCGUACCUUUUGUAUAAUGGGUCAGCGACUUAUAUUCUGUAGCAAGGUUAACCGAAUAGGGGAGCCGGAGGGAAACCGAGUCUUAAUUGGGCGUUAAGUUGCAGGGUAUAGACCCGAAACCCGGUGAUCUAGCCAUGGGCAGGUUGAAGGUUGGGUAACACUAACUGGAGGACCGAACCGACUAAUGUUGAAAAAUUAGCGGAUGACCUGUGGCUGGGGGUGAAAGGCCAAUCAAACCGGGAGAUAGCUGGUUCUCCCCGAAAGCUAUUUAGGUAGCGCCUCGUGAAUUCAUCUCCGGGGGUAGAGCACUGUUUCGGCUAGGGGGCCAUCCCGGCUUACCAACCCGAUGCAAACUGCGAAUACCGGAGAAUGUUAUCACGGGAGACACACGGCGGGUGCUAACGUCCGUCGUGAAGAGGGAAACAACCCAGACCGCCAGCUAAGGUCCCAAAGUCAUGGUUAAGUGGGAAACGAUGUGGGAAGGCCCAGACAGCCAGGAUGUUGGCUUAGAAGCAGCCAUCAUUUAAAGAAAGCGUAAUAGCUCACUGGUCGAGUCGGCCUGCGCGGAAGAUGUAACGGGGCUAAACCAUGCACCGAAGCUGCGGCAGCGACGCUGAUGCGUUGUUGGGUAGGGGAGCGUUCUGUAAGCCUGCGAAGGUGGCCUGUGAGGGUUGCUGGAGGUAUCAGAAGUGCGAAUGCUGACAUAAGUAACGAUAAAGCGGGUGAAAAGCCCGCUCGCCGGAAGACCAAGGGUUCCUGUCCAACGUUAAUCGGGGCAGGGUGAGUCGACCCCUAAGGCGAGGCCGAAAGGCGUAGUCGAUGGGAAACGGGUUAAUAUUCCCGUACUUGGUGUUACUGCGAAGGGGGGACGGAGAAGGCUAUGUUGGCCGGGCGACGGUUGUCCCGGUUUAAGCGUGUAGGUGUGUGUUCCAGGUAAAUCCGGUUCACUUUAACACUGAGGCGUGAUGACGAGGCACUACGGUGCUGAAGCAACAAAUGCCCUGCUUCCAGGAAAAGCCUCUAAGCAUCAGGUAACAUCAAAUCGUACCCCAAACCGACACAGGUGGUCAGGUAGAGAAUACCAAGGCGCUUGAGAGAACUCGGGUGAAGGAACUAGGCAAAAUGGUGCCGUAACUUCGGGAGAAGGCACGCUGACACGUAGGUGAAGUGAUUUACUCAUGGAGCUGAAGUCAGUCGAAGAUACCAGCUGGCUGCAACUGUUUAUUAAAAACACAGCACUGUGCAAACACGAAAGUGGACGUAUACGGUGUGACGCCUGCCCGGUGCCGGAAGGUUAAUUGAUGGGGUCAGCGCAAGCGAAGCUCCUGAUCGAAGCCCCGGUAAACGGCGGCCGUAACUAUAACGGUCCUAAGGUAGCGAAAUUCCUUGUCGGGUAAGUUCCGACCUGCACGAAUGGCGUAAUGAUGGCCAGGCUGUCUCCACCCGAGACUCAGUGAAAUUGAACUCGCUGUGAAGAUGCAGUGUACCCGCGGCAAGACGGAAAGACCCCGUGAACCUUUACUAUAGCUUGACACUGAACAUUGAGCCUUGAUGUGUAGGAUAGGUGGGAGGCUUUGAAGUGUGGACGCCAGU